CUCCCUGUUCUGGACCGUGUGCUGCCUCUUUCUGCUGCCGCUCCCCUGGCUUGAUUUCCUGGCAUCUGAUUUGUGGUUGUGAUCGCAAGUUUGUCUUUUGCUUCUGAUCUUCCAGGAUCCUGACCCAGCUGACUCUUGACUCCUGUCAUGGCUCACCAUCCAUCUUGGAGCUGAACACCAGGUGGGAGCUGAUAGAUUGUCCUUGGUGGGCCAGGUUCUUGUGUGUGAUUGAGCUGUGUGCCAGAGAGGGCCAGGAGCAGAUUCACCACGCAGGACCAGGCUAAACAGCCUGUAAUGCUAGUCAGUCAACCAGUGAGGCCAGUUUGCAGAAUGUGGAAGAGCUGUUUGGCGAUGGGUUGGAGGAUUCACCAUGUAGGUGGCAGCAGCUUCAGUGCCUGGGGUCUGCAUGGGCCAAGCCUCCACUCCUGACACUCCAGGCUAAUUUCCCACUGCUCUCAGUGGGGCUUUGGCUUCAGCUGCUGGGCCUGCAUCCCUAGGUAGAGGACUCAGGUAUUUCCAUCAGGCUGCUCAAUGGCAAAUGCAGCCAUCCAAAGAAGGGAAGAAGAAUGGAAGUGAAAGAGCAAAGCUGGACCAUCCGCUGAGCUGCUGCAAUCAAGUGAGCGGAGCUGGGGAGAGAAGAGGGAGAAUUCGAAGGUGGCUGGCGGCAGUAGGGAGGAGAAGCA
Chelonia mydas (Green sea turtle) is the source of this 683-nucleotide long non-coding RNA. RefSeq lists it as uncharacterized. The record is from RefSeq and is a predicted model, not a curated record. The transcript is spliced from 3 exons. NCBI's taxonomy places the organism in Eukaryota, Metazoa, Chordata, Testudines, Cheloniidae.